This 219-nucleotide ribosomal RNA is filed under the name uncultured bacterium. Its description in RNAcentral is "partial 16S ribosomal RNA". It matches the Rfam family "Bacterial small subunit ribosomal RNA", at positions 116 to 334 of the family's 1533-position model. The record is from RNAcentral.
CGUAAGCAACCUGCCCGAAAGACCGGGACAACAGCUCGAAAGGGCUGCUAAUACCGGAUGUGUCCACUUUGCCUCAUGGCUUAGUGAGUAAAUCAUUUAUGGCUUUCGGAGGGGCUUGCGGCCUAUCAGCUAGAUGGCGGUGUAACGGACCACCAUGGCGACGACGGGUAGCUGGUCUGAGAGGAUGGUCAGCCGGACUGGGACUGAGAUACGGCCCAG